RNAcentral lists this ribosomal RNA (586 nucleotides) under uncultured bacterium. Its description in RNAcentral is "bacterial SSU rRNA". The stretch from base 1 to 525 matches the Rfam family "Bacterial small subunit ribosomal RNA", at positions 338 to 873 of the family's 1533-position model. The record is from RNAcentral.
CCUACGGGAGGCAGCAGUGGGGAAUAUUGCACAAUGGGCGCAAGCCUGAUGCAGCGACGCCGCGUGAGGGAUGACGGCCUUCGGGUUGUAAACCUCUUUCAGUAGGGAAGAAGCGAAAGUGACGGUACCUGCAGAAGAAGCGCCGGCUAACUACGUGCCAGCAGCCGCGGUAAUACGUAGGGCGCAAGCGUUAUCCGGAAUUAUUGGGCGUAAAGAGCUCGUAGGCGGUUUGUCGCGUCUGCUGUGAAAGACCGGGGCUCAACUCCGGUUCUGCAGUGGGUACGGGCAGACUAGAGUGCAGUAGGGGAGACUGGAAUUCCUGGUGUAGCGGUGAAAUGCGCAGAUAUCAGGAGGAACACCGAUGGCGAAGGCAGGUCUCUGGGCUGUAACUGACGCUGAGGAGCGAAAGCAUGGGGAGCGAACAGGAUUAGAUACCCUGGUAGUCCAUGCCGUAAACGUUGGGCACUAGGUGUGGGGGACAUUCCACGUUUUCCGCGCCGUAGCUAACGCAUUAAGUGCCCCGCCUGGGGAGACGCGCAGNAACUAAGAAGUAGAGNGNGNGACGNGCGAGCGACGACGAGGAGAG